GAUGAAGAACGCAGCGAAAUGCGAUAAGUAAUGUGUAUUGCAGAAUUCAGUGAAUCAUCGAAUCUUUGAACGCACAUUGCGCCCCUUGGUAUUCCGGGGGGCAUGCCUGUUCGAGCGUCAUUAUAACCCCUCAAGCUCAGCUUGGUGUUGGGGCCUGCCGACUGGCAGCCCUUAAAAUCAGUGGCGGCGCCAUCUGGCUCUAAGCGUAGUAAUUUCUCUCGCUAUAGAGUCCCGGUGGAUGCUUGCCAGCAACCCCCAACUUUCUAUGGUUGACCUCGGAUCAGGUAGGGAUACCCGCUGAACUUAAGCAUAUCAAUAAGCGGAGGA
RNAcentral lists this unclassified non-coding RNA (327 nucleotides) under soil metagenome. RNAcentral describes it as "partial contains 5.8S ribosomal RNA, internal transcribed spacer 2, and large subunit ribosomal RNA". The stretch from base 1 to 120 matches the Rfam family "5.8S ribosomal RNA", at positions 35 to 154 of the family's 154-position model. The record is from RNAcentral.